Molecule: ribosomal RNA, 336 nt
Filed under: uncultured bacterium
Lineage: Bacteria
Description: bacterial SSU rRNA
Rfam family: Bacterial small subunit ribosomal RNA
Source: RNAcentral
AAGUGGAGCAAUCCAUGAGUAAAGUGGCGACCGGGUGAGUAACACGUGACUAACCUACCUUUUAGUGGGGGAUAACCUCGGGAAACCGAGGCUAAUACCGCAUAACAUCGCAAGAUCAAAGCAGCAAUGCGCUGGAAGAGGGGGUCGCGGCUGAUUAGCUAGUUGGCGGGGUAACGGCCCACCAAGGCGAAGAUCGGUAUCCGGCCUGAGAGGGCGCACGGACACACUGGAACUGAAACACGGUCCAGACUCCUACGGGAGGCAGCAGUGGGGAAUUUUGCGCAAUGGGGGAAACCCUGACGCAGCAACGCCGCGUGGAGGAUGAAGCCCCUUGGG